This 151-nucleotide small RNA is filed under the name Arabidopsis thaliana (thale cress). RNAcentral describes it as "ATSL026110". Lineage: Eukaryota; Viridiplantae; Streptophyta; Magnoliopsida; Brassicales; Brassicaceae. The record is from RNAcentral.
UUUUAUAUUAAUGUUGUAAUUAAAAAAAUUGGUGAUGAUAAAAUAAUAAAAUAAAUAUUUAACAUGUGUUAUAUCAAUCCAAAUCCGUUCUGCUAUAUUUCAUAUCAAUGCAAACCCGUCCCGCUAUAUUUUUCGUCUCAUAAUAUUUUAA